UAGGGAAUCUUCCGCAAUGGACGAAAGUCUGACGGAGCAACGCCGCGUGAGUGAAGAAGGAUUUCGGUUCGUAAAACCCUGUUGUUAGGGAAGAAAAAAUGUAUAGCAACUAUAUACAAAAGAGACGGUACCUAACCAGAAAGCCACGGCUAACUACGUGCCAGCAGCCGCGGUAAUACGUAGGUGGCAAGCGUUGUCCGGAAUUAUUGGGCGUAAAGCGCGCGCAGGUGGUUUAGAAAGUCUGAUGUGAAAGCCCACGGCUCAACCGUGGAGGGUCAGUGGAAACUAAUGAACUUGAGUGCAGAAGAGAAAAGUGGAAUUCCUGGUGUAGCGGUGAAAUGCGUAGAGAUUAGGAGGAACACCAGUGGCGAAGGCGGCUUUUUGGCCUGCAACUGACGCUGAGGCGCGAAAGCGUGGGGAGCAAACAGG
Molecule: ribosomal RNA, 429 nt
Filed under: Verrucomicrobiota bacterium
Lineage: Bacteria; Pseudomonadati; Verrucomicrobiota
Description: Verrucomicrobia bacterium partial 16S ribosomal RNA
Rfam family: Bacterial small subunit ribosomal RNA
Source: RNAcentral